This 254-nucleotide ribosomal RNA is filed under the name uncultured bacterium. RNAcentral describes it as "partial 16S ribosomal RNA". It matches the Rfam family "Bacterial small subunit ribosomal RNA", at positions 524 to 776 of the family's 1533-position model. The record is from RNAcentral.
UACAGAGGUCUCAAGCGUUGUUCGGAUUCAUUGGGCGUAAAGGGCGCGUAGGCGGCGGGGUCAGUCGGGUGUGAAAACUUGGGGCUUAACCCCGAAACGGCACUCGAAACUGCCCGGCUGGAGGGCCGGAGAGGAGAUCGGAAUUCACGGUGUAGCAGUGAAAUGCGUAGAGAUCGUGAGGAAGACCCGUGGCGAAGGCGGAUCUCUGGACGGCUAACUGACGCUGAGGCGCGAAGGCCAGGGGAGCAAACGGG